This 28-nucleotide small RNA is filed under the name Bombyx mori (domestic silkworm). Its description in RNAcentral is "ovarian small RNA-29532". The record is from RNAcentral. Lineage: Eukaryota; Metazoa; Arthropoda; Insecta; Lepidoptera; Bombycidae.
UCUAUGGACUUGUUCCAAAGUGCCAUGC